GAUGAACGCUGGCGGCGUGCCUAAUACAUGCAAGUCGAGCGAAUGGAUUAAGAGCUUGCUCUUAUGAAGUUAGCGGCGGACGGGUGAGUAACGCGUGGGUAACCUGCCCAUAAGACUGGGAUAACUCCGGGAAACCGGGGCUAAUACCGGAUAACAUUUUGAACCGCAUGGUUCGAAAUUGAAAGGCGGCUUCGGCUGUCACUUAUGGAUGGACCCGCGUCGCAUUAGCUAGUUGGUGAGGUAACGGCUCACCAAGGCAACGAUGCGUAGCCGACCUGAGAGGGUGAUCGGCCACACUGGGACUGGGACACGGCCCAGACUCCUACGGGAGGCAGCAGUAGGGAAUCUUCCGCAAUGGACGAAAGUCUGACGGAGCAACGCCGCGUGAGUGAUGAAGGCUUUCGGGUCGUAAAACUCUGUUGUUAGGGAAGAACAAGUGCUAGUUGAAUAAGCUGGCACCUUGACGGUACCUAACCAGAAAGCCACGGCUAGCUACGUGCCAGCCGCCGCGGUAA
Molecule: ribosomal RNA, 515 nt
Filed under: uncultured bacterium
Lineage: Bacteria
Description: partial 16S ribosomal RNA
Rfam family: Bacterial small subunit ribosomal RNA
Source: RNAcentral